GGGCGCUUAGCUCAGUGGUAGAGCGCUGCCUUCACACGGCAGAGGUCAUUGGUUCGAGACCAAUAGCGCCCA
Molecule: transfer RNA, 72 nt
Filed under: bacterium
Lineage: Bacteria
Description: tRNA-Val
Rfam family: tRNA
About the family: Transfer RNA (tRNA) molecules are approximately 80 nucleotides in length.
Source: RNAcentral